CUAAUACAUGCAAGUCGAACGCUUUGUGCUUAAUUGAUAUGACGAGCUUGCUCUGAUUUGAUUUUUUGAUUUCAAAGAGUGGCGAACGGGUGAGUAACACGUGGGUAACCUACCUCUUAGCAGGGGAUAACAUUUGGAAACAAGUGCUAAUACCGUAUAAUACCAACAACCGCAUGGUUGUUGGUUGAAAGAUGGUUCUGCUAUCACUAAGAGAUGGACCCGCGGUGCAUUAGCUAGUUGGUAAGGUAAUGGCUUACCAAGGCAAUGAUGCAUAGCCGAGUUGAGAGACUGAUCGGCCACAAUGGGACUGAGACACGGCCCAUACUCCUACGGGAGGCAGCAGUAGGGAAUCUUCCACAAUGGGCGCAAGCCUGAUGGAGCAACGCCGCGUGUGUGAUGAAGGGUUUCGGCUCGUAAAACACUGUUAUAAGAGAAGAACGGCACUGAGAGUAACUGUUCAGUGUGUGACGGUAUCUUACCAGAAAGGAACGGCUAAAUACGUGCCAGCAGCCGCGGUAAUACGUAUGUUCCAAGCGUUAUCCGGAUUUAUUGGGCGUAAAGCGAGCGCAGACGGUUAUUUAAGUCUGAAGUGAAAGCCCUCAGCUCAACUGAGGAAUUGCUUUGGAAACUGGAUGACUUGAGUGCAGUAGAGGAAAGUGGAACUCCAUGUGUAGCGGUGAAAUGCGUAGAUAUAUGGAAGAACACCAGUGGCGAAGGCGGCUUUCUGGACUGUAACUGACGUUGAGGCUCGAAAGUGUGGGUAGCAAACAGGAUUAGAUACCCUGGUAGUCCACACCGUAAACGAUGAGUGCUAGAUGUUCGAGGGUUUCCGCCCUUGAGUGUCGCAGCUAACGCAUUAAGCACUCCG
Molecule: ribosomal RNA, 868 nt
Filed under: Weissella hellenica
Lineage: Bacteria; Bacillati; Bacillota; Bacilli; Lactobacillales; Lactobacillaceae
Description: bacterial SSU rRNA
Rfam family: Bacterial small subunit ribosomal RNA
Source: RNAcentral